GAUGAAGAACGCAGCAAAAUGCGAUAAGUAAUGUGAAUUGCAGAAUUCAGUGAAUCAUCGAAUCUUUGAACGCACAUUGCGCCCGCCAGUAUUCUGGCGGGCAUGCCUGUUCGAGCGUCAUUACAACCCUCAGGCCCCCGGGCCUGGCGUUGGGGAUCGGCGGAGCCCCCCGUGGGCACACGCCGUCCCCCAAAUACAGUGGCGGUCCCGCCGCAGCUUCCAUCGCGUAGUAGCUAACACCUCGCGACUGGAGAGCGGCGCGGCCACGCCGUAAAACACCCAACUCUUCUGAAGUUGACCUCGAAUCAGGUAGGAAUACCCGCUGAACUUAAGCAUAUCAAUAAGCGGAGGA
Molecule: unclassified non-coding RNA, 352 nt
Filed under: soil metagenome
Description: partial contains 5.8S ribosomal RNA, internal transcribed spacer 2, and large subunit ribosomal RNA
Rfam family: 5.8S ribosomal RNA (bases 1-120)
Source: RNAcentral